AAGCGAAUGGUUUCCUAUUUUAGGCCCGUAAUAACUCCCAACUGCUUGCAUAUACAUGGGCCUUACAGUAUUGAGGCAACUUUUAAUCCCAGAAAAGAGCAGCCUGUUUUCUAGCAGGGUCUAUUUUUGAAUACCCUGUGGGAUCCUCCCUCUCUCACCAUCCUCCAUCCUCCCCUUGAUUUUGGGGAGUCAGGAGAGAGGAAAUAAAUGAAAUGCGUGCGGCAAGAGGAGCGGUUUGUUUUC
This 243-nucleotide long non-coding RNA is filed under the name Homo sapiens (human). RNAcentral describes it as "non-protein coding lnc-INSIG2-3:1". The record is from RNAcentral. Lineage: Eukaryota; Metazoa; Chordata; Mammalia; Primates; Hominidae.